UCAAUUUAUCUUGUCAAACUCUAACUGGACUGGAUUUCCUCCAACUGCGGAACGGCUGCGGAUUGGCUACGCUGCGUGUCGGCUCUGUGCUCCACCGUCCUUUGAUAUGCACCAGGUCGGAUUUGUUGCGGAACGGCUGCAGCCAUGA
Molecule: long non-coding RNA, 148 nt
Organism: Etheostoma cragini (Arkansas darter)
Lineage: Eukaryota; Metazoa; Chordata; Actinopteri; Perciformes; Percidae
Exons: 3
Source: RefSeq, a predicted model, not a curated record